Molecule: ribosomal RNA, 253 nt
Filed under: uncultured bacterium
Lineage: Bacteria
Description: partial 16S ribosomal RNA
Rfam family: Bacterial small subunit ribosomal RNA
Source: RNAcentral
UACGGAGGGGACUAGCGUUGUUCGGAAUUACUGGGCGUAAAGCGCACGUAGGCGGAUUUGUAAGUCAGGGGUGAAAUCCCGGGGCUCAACCUCGGAACUGCCUUUGAUACUGCAAAUCUCGAGUCCGGAAGAGGUGAGUGGAAUUCCAGGUGUAGCGGUGAAAUGCGUAGAUAUCUGGAGGAACACCGGUGGCGAAGGCGACAUCCUGGACCGGUAUUGACGCUGAGGCGCGAAAGCCAGGGGAGCAAACGGG